This is a long non-coding RNA of Neopsephotus bourkii (Bourke's parrot), 736 nucleotides long. RefSeq lists it as uncharacterized. The record is from RefSeq and is a predicted model, not a curated record. The transcript has 2 exons. Lineage: Eukaryota; Metazoa; Chordata; Aves; Psittaciformes; Psittacidae.
GAGUGGCUAGGGUCAGCAGCCUUACUCUGCACGGGUGGAAAAAUCCUCUCAAAGUGCCCACUAGUGUCUUGGCUUAAUAUGGUAAAGAGAAAACUUCAAAAACACUGGUCCCACACCUUGUGGGGUUGUUUGCUGUGGGUUGUCCUCCAGCAUAAGAGCUCUCAUUUUCCUUAAAGUUCUCCAAAAAUGUGGGAAAGCUCUUAGAAGCUCGUCAGGAAUUCUGAGCCAGAUAGCACUGUGCUAAGGUGCUUCAAAGCUUUCACAGAUGAGGCAGACAAAACAAGUACUGUGGAACAGCCUGAAUAUAAUUCAGCAAGAAGAUCCUGCAUAUAAGCAUCAGCAGGAAGGGAGGCACAGAGAAUCUGCAAGAAGAUGAUGAAGGGAUAAGGCUGACAAUAAAUGAGCACUGAAACACGUCUGAAACGUGGGAGGUCUCGUGGUGGAAAUAAUUUGGGAGAAGAAGCAUUUUUGAGUGAUGAUUGAGCAGGUGGAAAACUGACUCUCAGUAGCAAGACUUGUGACAAAGGAAUUGCUGACACCAAAUCAGGACACAACCCAGCUGUGGACAAACAGUGCAGCCAUGAGGGGAAUAAGAAAGGGGCAAGAGUUUAAGUGCUACAGAGAUGGAUAAUGGGAAAUAUUACAGCUUUGACUAGGGACUUCUUGGUGAGCCACAGCUUCUGGGGUUGGCCAUGCAUGGAAGGGAAAAAUAAGCAUGUUUCUCAUGGACAUAAAA